GCGGGAGAGGGAUGGCCGCUCCUUAGCUCCUGAGCGACUCCGGCGCUUCGGUUCCCGCAGCUCUGACUAUUCGGACCCUCAGGGCAGAGCGCGAGGCGGCCCGCUCGCUGCUCCGUGGAGCUGACGGCGUUCUGAGCCCCUCUUAGUUCUUCAGGGUCAAAGUCACCUUCCAAGUAGAAGACAACAAGAAAGAAAAGAAGACCAGAAAAAUAAUGGAAGAAAACCCUUUGCCCCAUGGUUUCUCCAAACCCAGAAGCCAGAACUUUCUCAGAUAUGUAAUGAAUACACUUUCAAAGCCUUAUCUCUUCCGAUCUUUGUAACUUUCGCUUUGUAACUAGGGACCGACUGAAAGGGGAAGGGUUGAGGGCAGAAGCAAGCUGAGUCUGCUUGGUGUUCAUCAUACACUAUCAGCACUUAAGCGCUCAGCCGUUAUUUGCGCUGUGUGAUUCCAAAGGCCCCUUCCCAGUAAGGGACAGUGACAGUGUGGACCCUGUUGUGUCUAUACAGAUAUAAAUCCCAUUUUAAAGAGACUGGGAGAACUCUGUAGAUGCUAUCGAAUCCAUUUACAGUGACAAAAGGGAAAAUUUAUAUGAUUUUAACAAUGUAGAAAAAAGCUAGAAGAACAUAUAGACAAGUAAAAUACUUAUGCUGGUUAAAGUGCCUGAUUGUGGUGAAUUAUUUAAUUUGGAAUUACCUUAACAUUGAUAUAAUGUUGUAAAAUUUUAUUUAAAAUAAAUGAAAGUGUUCUUGUUUUAUCUGUUGCUACAUAAUAAACCACUCCAAAACUAA
Long non-coding RNA from Orcinus orca (killer whale), 789 nucleotides. RefSeq lists it as uncharacterized. NCBI's taxonomy places the organism in Eukaryota, Metazoa, Chordata, Mammalia, Artiodactyla, Delphinidae. The record is from RefSeq and is a predicted model, not a curated record. The transcript is spliced from 2 exons.